GGACCCGCACAAGCAGUGGAGCAUGUGGUUUAAUUCGACGCAACGCGAAGAACCUUACCAGCGUUUGACAUGGGAAGUACCGGUUACAGAAUGGUAACCUUCAGUUCGGCUGGCUUCCGCACAGGUGCUGCAUGGCUGUCGUCAGCUCGUGUCGUGAGAUGUUGGUUAAGUCCCGCAACGAGCGCAACCCUUAUCGUUAGUUACUAACAGUUCGGCUGAGGACUCUAGCGAAACUGCCGGUGAUAAGCCGGAGGAAGGUGGGGAUGACGUCAAGUCCUCAUGGCCCUUACACGCUGGGCUACACACGUGCUACAAUGGCCGGUACAAACGGUUGCGAACCCGCGAGGGGAAGCUAA
Molecule: ribosomal RNA, 356 nt
Filed under: uncultured bacterium
Lineage: Bacteria
Description: bacterial SSU rRNA
Rfam family: Bacterial small subunit ribosomal RNA
Source: RNAcentral